RNAcentral lists this ribosomal RNA (349 nucleotides) under uncultured bacterium. RNAcentral describes it as "bacterial SSU rRNA". It matches the Rfam family "Bacterial small subunit ribosomal RNA", at positions 917 to 1269 of the family's 1533-position model. The record is from RNAcentral.
GGACCCGCACAAGUAGUGGAGCAUGUGGUUUAAUUCGAUGAUACGCGAGGAACCUUACCAGGGCUUAAAUGUAAGUUGCAUUAGUUAGAGAUAGCUAUUUCUUCGGACCACUUACAAGGUGCUGCAUGGUUGUCGUCAGCUCGUGCCGUGAGGUGUCAGGUUAAGUCCUAUAACGAGCGCAACCCCUGUUGUUAGUUGCCAGCGAGUCAUGUCGGGAACUCUAACAAGACUGCCGGUGCAAACCGUGAGGAAGGUGGGGAUGACGUCAAAUCAUCACGGCCCUUACGUCCUGGCUACACACGUGCUACAAUGGUCGGUACAGAGGGCAGCUACCGGGUGACCGGAUGCG